This is a non-coding RNA of Pelobates cultripes (western spadefoot toad), 214 nucleotides long. The record is from the annotation of a GenBank genome assembly. NCBI's taxonomy places the organism in Eukaryota, Metazoa, Chordata, Amphibia, Anura, Pelobatidae.
CUCUGCACCUAUUUUACAGCAUCCUGUCCCCUCACUGCCCUAUAUUCUUGAGGUUGAUGCUUCGGAUAUUGGGGUAGGUGCUGUCUUAUCCCAAAGAGAGUCGCCUGAAAAGCCAUUGCAUCCAUGCGGCUUCUUUUCUAAACAAAUGUCCAAAGCAGAGAAAAAUUAUGAUGUGGGUAAUCGCGAACUCCUUGCUAUUAUUUUAGCACUUAAA